Molecule: ribosomal RNA, 693 nt
Filed under: uncultured bacterium
Lineage: Bacteria
Description: bacterial SSU rRNA
Rfam family: Bacterial small subunit ribosomal RNA
Source: RNAcentral
GGGAUAACAGCUGGAAACGGCUGCUAAUACCGCAUAAGCGCACAGAGCUGCAUGGCUCGGUGUGAAAAACUCCGGUGGUAUGGGAUGGGCCCGCGUCUGAUUAGGCAGUUGGCGGGGUAACGGCCCACCAAACCGACGAUCAGUAGCCGGCCUGAGAGGGCGACCGGCCACAUUGGGACUGAGACACGGCCCAAACUCCUACGGGAGGCAGCAGUGGGGAAUAUUGCACAAUGGGGGAAACCCUGAUGCAGCGACGCCGCGUGAGCGAAGAAGUAUUUCGGUAUGUAAAGCUCUAUCAGCAGGGAAGAUAAUGACGGUACCUGACUAAGAAGCCCCGGCUAACUACGUGCCAGCAGCCGCGGUAAUACGUAGGGGGCAAGCGUUAUCCGGAUUUACUGGGUGUAAAGGGAGCGUAGACGGCAAGGCAAGUCUGAUGUGAAAACCCAGGGCUUAACCCUGGGACUGCAUUGGAAACUGUCUGGCUCGAGUGCCGGAGAGGUAAGCGGAAUUCCUAGUGUAGCGGUGAAAUGCGUAGAUAUUAGGAAGAACACCAGUGGCGAAGGCGGCUUACUGGACGGUAACUGACGUUGAGGCUCGAAAGCGUGGGGAGCAAACAGGAUUAGAUACCCUGGUAGUCCACGCUGUAAACGAUGAAUGCUAGGUGUUGGGGAGCAAAGCUCUUCGGUGCCGCCG